Molecule: non-coding RNA, 145 nt
Organism: Biscogniauxia sp. FL1348
Lineage: Eukaryota; Fungi; Ascomycota; Sordariomycetes; Xylariales; Xylariaceae
Source: the annotation of a GenBank genome assembly
CGCCGGGUGGUGCAAUGGUAAGCGCGCCGGUCCACACUACCACCACCAUUCCUAAGGUGCUUCCCAAGGUGGUAGAUUUCCUAAUAGGCAUUUCCUAACCCGCCUACGUGGACCGGAGAUGAGGGUUCAAAUCCCUCCCCGGCGA